This 298-nucleotide unclassified non-coding RNA is filed under the name plant metagenome. RNAcentral describes it as "partial contains 5.8S ribosomal RNA, internal transcribed spacer 2, and large subunit ribosomal RNA". The stretch from base 1 to 105 matches the Rfam family "5.8S ribosomal RNA", at positions 50 to 154 of the family's 154-position model. The record is from RNAcentral.
GAAAUGCGAUAAGUAAUGUGAAUUGCAGAAUUCAGUGAAUCAUCGAAUCUUUGAACGCAUAUUGCGCCCCCUGGUAUUCCGGGGGGCAUGCCUGUUCGAGCGUCAUUUCACCACUCAAGCCUCGCUUGGUAUUGGGCAACGCGGUCCGCCGCGUGCCUCAAAUCGACCGGCUGGGUCUUCUGUCCCCUAAGCGUUGUGGAAACUAUUCGCUAAAGGGUGUUCGGGAGGCUACGCCGUAAAACAACCCCAUUUCUAAGGUUGACCUCGGAUCAGGUAGGGAUACCCGCUGAACUUAAGC